GUGGGGAAUAUUGGGCAAUGGGGGCAACCCUGACCCAGCGACGCCGCGUGGAGGAAGAAGUCCCUCGGGAUGUAAACUCCUGUUGUGUGGGAAGAAGCGAGUGACGGUACCACACGAGGAAGCCCCGGCAAACUACGUGCCAGCAGCCGCGGUAAUACGUAGGGGGCGAGCGUUGUCCGGAAUCACUGGGCGUAAAGGGCACGCAGGCGGACCGACAGGUCGUUUGUGAAAGGCGAGGGCUCAACCCUUGUUUGCGGACGAAACCGUCGGACUGGAAGACCGGAGAGGGAAGUGGAAUGCCCGGUGUAGCGGUGAAAUGCGUAGAUGUCGGGAGGAACACCAGUGGCGAAGGCGGCUUCCUGGCCGGAUACUGACGCUCAAGUGCGAAAGCUGGGGGAGCGAACGGGAUUAGAUACCCUGGUAGUCC
Molecule: ribosomal RNA, 427 nt
Filed under: uncultured bacterium
Lineage: Bacteria
Description: partial 16S ribosomal RNA
Rfam family: Bacterial small subunit ribosomal RNA
Source: RNAcentral